RNAcentral lists this ribosomal RNA (384 nucleotides) under uncultured bacterium. RNAcentral describes it as "bacterial SSU rRNA". It matches the Rfam family "Bacterial small subunit ribosomal RNA", at positions 30 to 416 of the family's 1533-position model. The record is from RNAcentral.
AUUGAACGCUGGCGGCAUGCCUUACACAUGCAAGUCGAACGGCAGCGGACCUUCGGGUGCCGGCGAGUGGCGAACGGGUGAGUAAUAUAUCGGAACGUACCUUUCAGUGGGGGAUAACGUAGCGAAAGUUACGCUAAUACCGCAUAUUCUGUGAGCAGGAAAGCAGGGGAUCGCAAGACCUUGCGCUGAUUGAGCGGCCGAUAUCAGAUUAGAUAGUUGGUGAGGUAAAGGCUCACCAAGGCGACGAUCUGUAGCGGGUCUGAGAGGAUGAUCCGCCACACUGGAACUGAGACACGGUCCAGACUCCUACGGGAGGCAGCAGUGGGGAAUUUUGGACAAUGGGCGCAAGCCUGAUCCAGCCAUGCCGCGUGAGUGAAGAAGGCC